RNAcentral lists this long non-coding RNA (4639 nucleotides) under Mytilus galloprovincialis (Mediterranean mussel). Lineage: Eukaryota; Metazoa; Mollusca; Bivalvia; Mytilida; Mytilidae. The record is from RNAcentral.
AUCCUGGUAUUAAAGGACACAUCUACUAUAAAUUCAGAUAUUAAACAUUGUGCAUGAUUUAGCCGUGACCUGUAUAGUUGAGAUAAAAAGCAAAGGUACGUUUACUUUUAUCUGUUUACUUUUAGCAUUUAAAUGACUUUUGUUUCAUUAUCUGUUAUAUAACACUUUCUAUUUGAAAUUCUAGUUCUAUUACAUAAUCUUACUUCUGUAUAACGCAAAUAUUGCCAACGGUAAUAGGUGAAUACUUAUAAAAUGUAUAUCUCAGGAACAAUAUCAAUAUGAAAAGAAAUUAUUCGAUUCUAACGAUAAAAGUAAGGACAUAUGGCAAAAAUGUAACCGAGACAACUAUCAGUUGAAGACCACAGAACAGACAUGCGUCCUAAAAGAGGGACGAAAGAUACCAAAGGGACAGACAAACUCAUAAAUCUAAAACAAAAUGACAACGCCAUGGCUAAAAAUGAAAAAGACAAACAGAAAAACAAUAGUACACAUGACACAACAUAGAAAACUAAAGAAUAAACAACACGAACCCCACCAAAAACUAGGGGUGAUCUCAUGUGCUCCGGAAGGGUAAGCAGAUCCUGCUCCACAUGCUCUAAUGUGCACUGAACAAUACUAAUCGUAAAAACAAUAAGGCAUGCUGCAACCAACGACAACUACUUGACGACAGAAACACAAAUUAGGUUGCAGAGUUAAACAUUUUUGUAAACGCUUAAAACUCAUUCAUGUAAAAGAAGGACGAAAGAUACAUGUACCAGAGGGACAGUCAAUAGUAAUAGUUGUGUGUAGCAACACUUAAUAAUUAGCAAAUGCAUGUACGUUGUUUUUAAUAUUUUAGGGAAAGCAUUUCCAAAAUGAAAAAUACAACAGUUUUUGGAGCAGUUUUUGUUUUACUUCUGAUAUUUUCGUGUGGUAAGUUUUUCAAUUGUUAAUAUUGUAAAGAAACUUUAUUUUACAAACAAAAAUUAAAUGGUAAUAUUCACAUUUAUACUCAGGUUAUAAUGAGUUCGGAUCGAACAUAAAACACGCUUUGUAUGUUGUAAUUUUUUGAUAAUUUUAAAUACUGGCCUCUUUAAUCAAAUGUUUGUUUGUAUAUGAGCUGGAUAGUAAAACACCGAAGGAAAUUAAAAGGUGGAAAUUAAAAUGAAAUCAAUAUUAAAAAAACAGAAAAUGCGAUGACCCAGUCCAGAAUAUUUCUAAAACUAGACAAACAAAAACCUCUUUGUAAAAAGAGGAGAAAAUUAGGUGAUCCGAUAAAAUCAUCAGUACCAUCAAGACUGUUUGAAGAUUUGAUAUUACGUAAGUUAAAACACGUGGACUAGUCUUUACCGCGCAUUAGGCAUAUUUACAAAGGUCUCAAAUUAAUAAAGCAACAAUAGUUAUUAUCACAGAGAGUAAAGCAGAGAUGAAUAGUGCAUUUUAUAAUCAUUUAGGUAGUAUUAAUGUGAAGUCUUAACAGUAUAAUUAACUUUUAAUUGAUUUUUAAUAGUAAAAGUAUAACGUGUUUGACUCGGUUGCAAUAGGAAAUUUCUAUUUGCAAAAUGUUUUACGUUAAAUAACCCAAGCGCAACCCAGAUGGUAUAUACUUAUGAAAAAUGUAUUUGAAUAUUUUGUCAUGAGUUAUCCUUCACGUUUUUAAAUAUCAAAUUUGGACAUUUAGACGCACAUAAUUAAAUCUAGUUGUGUACGUCAUACGUUAAAUAAAAACUAUUGCGAUUAAUUGGUUAUUCUAUGGCUAUUGCAAUGCUUGCUUGAUUUUUUCUUUGCAGCUUGUAUGUUUUAUUUGGUCUUAUUUCAUUUCUAGGUAUUUUAAAUCUUUAAUUGACGUUUACUCCUAAUUUUGGUGUUUCAUCAAAUUGAUGUGUUUACCGUUGGCACAAAAGUAGUGAUCAAGCAAAUUCAUUUAUGCCUUUAUCUAGCCGUUCAUUGACACACUAUGACAGUUCUGUGGUAAAUUUCAAUGACCAGCACGACAAAUAUAACAAAAUAAAGGAAUCAAAUACGAACUAAUAGCUUAUAAUUCCGUAUCUCGGGUUUCAAAGCUGAAACAAAUAGUAAAAAAAGAAUUAAUACGUAUUAGUUACAAUAAAAUCUAAAAAAUUAAGAUUACUUUUAAAAUUGAUUAUCUAUGUAUUGCAAAUAUCAAAGUGAAACAAAUUUUGGCACGGUGACCGUCAUUGGACUAUAAAGAAUUAAAAAUCUAUAAUAAAUCAUUUGGCAUGUUUUGCAAAACACAAUAAGUACAUUUUGUUUUUGUUAACAAAAUAAAAAACGUUAAGGAGCAUCGCUGUUAUCGCUAUUUUUCAAUCUCUAGGUCAGCAUAUUAAUCUUAUAUUGCCGAGUUAAUAACUUUUUGGUCUUUAAAUUAUCAUAUAAUCUAUAUCCGUAUGCUUUCAAUCGAAAAAGGGUUGUCAGUUUUAAAACAAAGAGAGAAAGAUCGUUAACUUAGUCUAAUAUAUGUUAAAAUAUUUUAUAUUGUUAUAAUGCAUGGAAAAUACAAACACAAACAAACACACACAAACACACUAACACACAUACACGUUCAUAUUUCUACACAAAUGAAUAACGAAUAGUAUGUACAUGUUAAAAUCAAAGAUUUACCUUCGAACAUUCACAACUGAUAAGUGGAGUGAAAUAAAUAAGAUUUGAUCUUUAAGAAGUAAAAGAACAAUUGCAAAUUAUAACAAAUUUGACUGCAGACGUCUUCUGCUGAUGCAAAUGGCAUGAAUGGUGAAUCUUUUGAAUACGCUUUUCAGUAGUGGAACUACAAGGGGCAGAACCCAAAAACAGUGUACGGGUUCUCAAGUGUUCCAAACACUGCAUACUACCAUUUAUGGGAAGCAAGUGUAAAAAAUGUUGUAAACAAAAUGGAAAGAAACACGGACGAUGCUUUUCUGUCUUUUGUGUGUGUUGGAAUUGGCCAUGAGGUUGAACCCUAAGGUAAGUAUAACUAAUAAUCGUCACGACAUUAAAUUGUUUGUCAAUACUUAGUGGUGCAUAACAAAAUGGAUGUACUGAAUUUAAAUGUAAAUAACCAUAUAUAAUAGACCAUUUUAUCCAUUUAGAUUAAGUAAAAUGCAAAUAUUUGAACUUAAUAACGGCCUUAAUAAACAUGACAGAAAGCCCCAAUUUACCCCUAAUAAGUCUGGAUUUUUUACCUUUAAAUAUUGAUUUUGACCUUUUUUAUAUUUAAGCAAUAACAAAAUAAGAUAGAAACUUCAAAAAGCAAAAAUUAUCUGCAAUAUAAAAAGUAUAAGUAAAACAGUAUGACCGAAAUUAUCAGAUAGACGUUAUACAGUAAAAAUCAUCAACGAAACAGGAUUUUCAAAAAUGCAACCAAAUAUGAUUUACAAAUAAGCAAACAGAAAUGAUUGCAUGAGUGGUAAAAUAUAUAUCUUCAUUGGAUUGUUCACGCUCAUGCAUUAGAGCUUCUUGUUCAUGUUGUUUUCUCUACUGUUGGAAAAAUUGAGAAGAACACACCUACAACGUAAUCAAAUCAAAUGCGUAUUUUUUUUUACACAUAUACAACGUUCCUGAUUAUUUCAAAUAUCGUUUCUUUGCACUCUAAAUCAUUCUACAUUUACAAUACACCAUUUCAUCAUUCCUCAUUCUCUAGUGUACCACGCAACAAUCAAAGACAUUAUAAAUCUCUUGUUACCAUAUGAUUUUCAUAAGAUAAUGACAUUCUGUAUAUGUACUUCAUUCUAAAUUCCAAUAUAUGAAUGUUGAGCGCUGCAUAUUAAAGAUAAUGAUUGUCUACUUAAUUUAUAGAAAGCAUAUCAAGAACCAAAAGUAAACCUUCUAUUUUGUUUUUCAGAGCACUGAGCUUUUAUGAUACUACUUCGUGUUAUCAGUAGAAUUAAAAAAACUAAGUCAUCAAACAAGAAGUUUUACUUUUUUCAACAAUAUACAUGUAUUUCCCUUUAAGCUUGCUGUUUAUAUAAAUAAGAAGAUGGGGUAUGAGUGCCAAUGAUACGACUUUCCAUUAAAGCCACAUUGUACAAAAACUUAAUAAUUACAGGUACAAGUAAGACCUUUAACACAGAGCCUUGGCUAACACCGAACAGCAAGCUAGUAAGGGCCCAACAACUACUAGUGUAAACUAAUUCAAACAGGAAAACUAACGGUCUUAUCUAUAUAAGAAACGAGAAACGAGAAACACAUAUACACCACACCAAAUAAAAUCAACCACUGAAAAACAGGAUUUUGACUUAGGGCAGGUGCAUAAAUGAAUUUUUAAAUAUUUCAAAUAUGAAACAUAGAAAUGAAUAAGUUCCCAAGGCUCGACACAUAAGAAUAAAUUUGUCAAACAAUUUCCUAAUGUCAGGAGCAAAACUUCGAAAUAUAUGCAAUUCCAUUAUAUCAACAUUAUUUGCAGUUUAUCCGUGAAUAUAAAAAAGAAGAUGUGGUAUGAUUACCAAUGAGACAAAUGUCCUCAAGAGAUAAAAAUGACACAGACAUUAACAACUAUAGGUCACCGCACGGCCUUCAACAAUGAGCAAAGCCCAUACCGCAUAGUCAGCUAUAAAAGGCCCCGAUAUGACAUUGUAAAACAAUUCAAACGAGAAAACUAACGGUCUUAUUUAUAUAAAAGAAUGAACAAAAAACAAAUAUGUCGCACAUUAACAAACGACAACCA